This 2309-nucleotide long non-coding RNA is filed under the name Homo sapiens (human). Its description in RNAcentral is "HSALNT0005600". Lineage: Eukaryota; Metazoa; Chordata; Mammalia; Primates; Hominidae. The record is from RNAcentral.
CCUGCCGACCCGGGUCCGGGGGCCCAGUUGGCGCCCGGACCAGCUCUCCGGUCUGCGUCCUGUAGAUGGGAAAACUGAGGCCUGAGAGGGCGCGAGGGCGGGGACGAGGCCGAGGACUCGGGUUCGAAUCUCGAGGACGCCAGUAGCCCGCUCUGAGGCCGCGUGGGGCUGGUGGAGGAGCCACCGGUCGGGCCCCCAAGACCGGCUGACGUGGGCCUCGCCUCGGGCGACUCCCGCCGGGCUAGUGGCUGGCCGUGUGGUGACCUUGGGCGAGUUACUUCGCACAGCCACCCAGGGGCCUCUUCUCCAACACGAUAGCACUGCACCCGGAGGGCCUUCAGACCUGAGCUGAAAUCUACACCACCGGCUCUCUGACUAUCAGGCUUUGGACUAUACUUUGGGCUUUCCUGGGUCUCUUACCUGGCAGACAGCAGAUUUUGGAACUUUUCAGCCUCCAUAAUCAUGUUCUACUGGAACUUCUAGCAGGCAAACUCACCUAGUGCUCUCUGGAAGGUGAUGUGGGUGGAACUCUGUCUGAUUCCAAUGUCUAGAUGCCAAUGAGCUCUCCACCAUCACCCCAGAGACAGGGGAAAGAAGAUAUAAGUAGACCUGGGCCUGUCUUCAUUCACUCUCAGUGAGCACACGGCAGGCAUUCAAGAAAUAUAGAGGCUGAAUUACAUUUUUUUUGAGGGUCUAAACUUUGCCCUCUGUGACUAGGUGUCAUUUGAUAUGGCAAUGAGAAUACAGAGCAGAGAUACUCAAACUCAGGAACCAAAAGAAUCAUCUGAAGAUAACUGUUAAAAUGCAGAUUCUAGGGUCCUCCCUCCAGAACUCUGUGAGGGAUUGUUAUCUCCAUUUUAUGGAUGAGGAAGCUGACUCUGAGAGAUGACUUUCCAAAUUCAUCCAACUGGAAGAAAAAGGAAGUCUCUGGGGACUUGAAUCCAGAACUGUCCAGCUCCAAGUCCAGGGCUCACUCUAUUAAGCCACUCCAUGAGGAAUGAGUCCCUAAGGAGGCCACAGAAGGCCCUAAGCCCUCUUUUGUUCUCUGGAAGAGAGUGCCAUUUCUUGGCCCUUCCCAAGGCCUUGACAACUGAAGGUCCCAGAAGAACCACAAAGCAUAAAUUUCCCCAAAAGGGGAAUUUUGUUGAUGGCUUUAGUCUAUUCCCUCCUAAAAGACCAGCUACAACCAAAUGAAGUGAACAUAACCUCAAGGGUGUAUUGUCUUCAUAAUAAAAGAUGAAGCUUAGAACUGGAUCAUGGAAUUCAAAUCGCGGAGUGACAGGCUGUGUGUGGGGCUGAUUGUCUGGGUCAGAGACAUCACAACUGGCUGGUGAGGAGAGCUUUCUGACAACAGGAGCUGUCCAACAAGGAGUGGGCUGCUGUCACCGAGGAGCUGAAGCGGCCGACGGCUGACCUUCCACUGGGCACUAGGCAGGGCCUGGAUGGAGGGAGUCUUAAAGUAGGAGGGAGAAGCCAAGGAAAUAGCUCUCUAGAAGCAUUUUGUACACUGAAAAGUGUCAUUGAAACGCUGUAAAGAACCACUGAGGAUAUGAGUUAUUCUUCCUACAGUUGUACAGCUUGUGAACAGUAGAGCUGGGGUCCGAGCCAGGUCUCUGACUCUGCAGCCUACCCUUGUCCUGCUUGAACACACUGAGGAAGACAGGAAUAACAGGACAUGGGUCAGAAGGCUUGGCUUCUGCUCCAGCUUUGAAGUUGAAGGAUUAGGUGACAGCUAACACUUGAUAGUAUUUUAUGGUUUCAAAGUGAUAACCAUGUAAUAUUUUAAUUGAUUCUCAGCCCAUUUUGUAGAUGAGGAAACUGAGGCUCACAGAUCUGAUGACUUCCUAAUUGUGGCAAACUACCAGCUACACAGUAGCUGGGCUGGCUUCGAACCAGGUCUUUUGACCCCAGAGUCUGUGCAGCUCACAAAUAAAGCUGAUUCUUUGACAAGUUAAGCCUCUUCUCUUGGAUUCAUUUUUCCAGUCUGUGAAAAUGAGGGAUUGGAUUAGAUUAGUAGGCAAUCACUAGUUCCCAGGCCCUUUUAUUUAAAGAAAAAAAGGAGAACCCAUAGAGUCUGGCAACUUAAACUUUUGCUAAGUAUGAACACUCUUCCACCACGUGAUGACACAAGAAGGUCCUUGUACGAUGUCAGGAAUUUGGACAGACCACAGUGGAGAUGGCUAAUCUAUGCCCCACGGUGUCUGGGGCCUCAGCCGGGGUGACUCAAAGGUGUCUGUGAUAUGUAACAAUUGGAGGCUGAGUAGGCAUCUUUCUCUCCUCUCCAGGUGGCCUCUCGGUGAGCUUAGGUU